AAGUCGUAACAAGGUUUCCGUAGGUGAACCUGCGGAAGGAUCAUUACAGAGUUCGUGCCCUCCGGGGUAGAUCUCCCACCCUUGAUAUCUCUUCUCUUGUUGCUUUGGCGGGACGCCUCCGGCCACGGGCUUCGGCCUGUGAGUGCCCGCCAGAGACCCAACCCAACCCUGUUUAUGUGUCGUCUGAGUACUAUAUAAUAGUUAAAACUUUCAACAACGGAUCUCUUGGUUCUG
This 234-nucleotide unclassified non-coding RNA is filed under the name Helotiales sp. RNAcentral describes it as "partial contains small subunit ribosomal RNA, internal transcribed spacer 1, and 5.8S ribosomal RNA". The stretch from base 1 to 46 matches the Rfam family "Eukaryotic small subunit ribosomal RNA", at positions 1786 to 1831 of the family's 1831-position model. The record is from RNAcentral. Lineage: Eukaryota; Fungi; Ascomycota; Leotiomycetes; Helotiales.